This 293-nucleotide unclassified non-coding RNA is filed under the name uncultured Pachyphloeus. Its description in RNAcentral is "sequence contains 5.8S rRNA gene". The stretch from base 1 to 53 matches the Rfam family "5.8S ribosomal RNA", at positions 102 to 154 of the family's 154-position model. The record is from RNAcentral. Lineage: Eukaryota; Fungi; Ascomycota; Pezizomycetes; Pezizales; Pezizaceae.
GAACGCAUAUUGCGCCCAAUGGUAUUCCAUUGGGCAUACCUGUUUGAGUGUCAGAAUCCUUCCAAUUAUCAAACUUUUAUAUAUCUAUAUAUGUAAAGAUGUUUGGACUUUUAUUGAGAAGAGUAGUAUUAUUAUAAUAUUACUUUCUUAAAAACCAGAAAUAUUUUGUUUUGGUUUUCUUCCAACUCAUUUUGUAUUUAAUAUAACAAAUGAGUGUGAAUGUUAACAAACAACAAUAAUAAUAAUACCUUUGGAUGACCUCAAAUCAGGUAGGGAUACCCGCUGAACUUAAG